This 1050-nucleotide long non-coding RNA is filed under the name Homo sapiens (human). RNAcentral's name for it is "HSALNT0141481". Lineage: Eukaryota; Metazoa; Chordata; Mammalia; Primates; Hominidae. The record is from RNAcentral.
GUGCUGGAAAGCUUCCAUGAAGUUCUCUUGCUCUUAGGAGAGACCUACAGGACGAGGUGGUCUCUCUUUUUCCUCAAAAUAGUCAUGCUUCUGUUGCGAUCUGGAAGUGCUACAGCCAUCUUGCUACCUCCCUGAGAAUGAAGCUUCCACUGGGGAUGGCUUCCACUGGAGAAAUGGAAAAAAAAGAUCCCAUCCUGGAUCUCACAUUUAAUCAUCAUGUGUCCUCAGGCUCCUCUGUGGCAGUUUCUCAGUCUUUUCUUAUUUUUGAUGACCUUGACAAUUUUGAGGAGUUCUGGUCAGGUGGUGAUCCCAGGAGCACUUCCUAACGUACCUGCUGCAAGCUGUUCUCCAUUUUAUUUAUUUAAUUUUUUUUUUGAGAUGGCAUCUCGCUCUGUCACCCAGGCUGGAGUGCAGUGGUGCAAUAUGAAUUCACUGCAACCUCCGCCUCCCAGGUUCAAGCGAUUCGCCUGCCUCAGCCUCCCGACUAGCUGGGAUUACAGGCACCUGCCACCACACCUGGCUAAUAUUUGUAUUUUUAGUAGAGAUGGGGUCUCACUAUGUUGGCCAGGUUGGUCCGGAACUCCUGACCUCAAGUGAUCUGCCUGCCUCAGCCUCCCAAAGUGCUAGGAUUACAGGCAUGAGCCACCACACCCGGCCUGUUCUCCAUUUUAGAGCCUGGUUCCCAAGCAAUCCAAACUGUGACAGUUUCUCUUCCUUGCAAAAGGGUGAUCAAUUGUCCUGGUAUGCCCAGGACUGAGGGAGUUCUUGAGAUAAGAUGAUUGCCCACCUUGCAACCAAGAAUUCUAAGAGAUAUAACUCUCAAUAGCUUGGGUGACCAAAAAGUGUCACUGUUUAUCACCCUUUGAGGAGUCUGUGAUGUAAAUAAAAAUAUAUUUGGUCUUUGCCCCACUGCCUGGCACAGAGCUUUUAAAACUUUUGGCAUUUCCUGAAUGAUGGGAAUGUCUUUUGUUACCCAUGACAAGCUCCUUUUUUUUUGAGAUGAAGUCUCACUCUUGUUCCCCAGGCUGGAGUGCGAUGGCACGAUCUUGG